CCGAGAUAGGGUUUCUUCGGAGCCCGACCUCCAACCCAAUUGUCUACCAUACCUCUGUUGCCUCGGCGGGCCGCCGGUCCAACCGCCGUCGGCCCUUUAUUGGGCUUUCGAGCGCCCGCCGAUGGGAUACUUAAAACUCUUUUUUUGAAAUCAGUUUCUGAGUGAGAAAUCAAUAGCAUUA
Molecule: unclassified non-coding RNA, 181 nt
Filed under: uncultured Ascomycota
Lineage: Eukaryota; Fungi; Ascomycota
Description: sequence contains ITS1
Source: RNAcentral